AUUGAACGCUGGCGGCAGGCCUAACACAUGCAAGUCGAGCGGAUGAAGGGAGCUUGCUCCUGGAUUCAGCGGCGGACGGGUGAGUAAUGCCUAGGAAUCUGCCUGGUAGUGGGGGAUAACGUCCGGAAACGGGCGCUAAUACCGCAUACGUCCUGAGGGAGAAAGUGGGGGAUCUUCGGACCUCACGCUAUCAGAUGAGCCUAGGUCGGAUUAGCUAGUUGGUGGGGUAAAGGCCUACCAAGGCGACGAUCCGUAACUGGUCUGAGAGGAUGAUCAGUCACCCGGAAAUGGAAAACGGGCCCAGACCCCUAGGGGGGGCAGCGAGGGGAAUUUUGGACAAUGGGCGAAAGCCUGAUCCAGCCAUGCCGCGUGUGUGAAGAAGGUCUUCGGAUUGUAAAGCACUUUAAGUUGGGAGGAAGGGCAGUAAGUUAAUACCUUGCUGUUUUGACGUUACCAACAGAAUAAGCACCGGCUAACUUCGUG
This 483-nucleotide ribosomal RNA is filed under the name uncultured bacterium. Its description in RNAcentral is "partial 16S ribosomal RNA". It matches the Rfam family "Bacterial small subunit ribosomal RNA", at positions 30 to 507 of the family's 1533-position model. The record is from RNAcentral.